AUGUCAGAGACGGAUCUACCCUUAAUCAUCGAGACGGAUUGCAGAUCGGUGACAAAGGCGAUCAUCCUCUCGUCUAUUGAUAGAUCGGAGGUUGGAACAAUUGCAAAGGAGUUUCAAACCAUGAAAGGGAACAGAGAAGUUAGAGUUUGCAAAGUAGAUAGGAAGGAAAAUAUGUUAGCUCAUAGUCUUGCCCAGUUGGGGCGUAGAGAGUUGCGUGGUGGGGUUAUGCAAGACACAGUGCCAACCUGCAUGUUGAGCGAGACCUUGCACGAUUGCAAUUCUCUCAGCGACGCGCGGCGUAUCAUAUAUUUUAUCCAUACGAACUAUUUCAAAUUCUCUCCCUGCAAAAAAGAAAAACUAAUUCAAAUUCCUGGGCUCCAUUUUGCGCUCCGGCCUGGCCCCCAAAAUUGCUGGACACGGCCCUACCAAUCCAUAAGCGCAGCACCUGGGUCGCGGAAUCCGACAGUCCUCCCGGUUUCGAAUCAGAGAUUCCCCACCUCUCUCGCAAGCUGUCUCUCCGGGAGGAGGAGGACGGAGGCGCGGCCCAGGACGGCACGGCUACCGGAGCUGGCUGAUCGGCGGCUCUAUUAG
This 591-nucleotide ribosomal RNA is filed under the name Triticum aestivum (bread wheat). RNAcentral describes it as "partial small subunit ribosomal RNA". The record is from RNAcentral. Lineage: Eukaryota; Viridiplantae; Streptophyta; Magnoliopsida; Poales; Poaceae.